Molecule: ribosomal RNA, 253 nt
Filed under: uncultured bacterium
Lineage: Bacteria
Description: partial 16S ribosomal RNA
Rfam family: Bacterial small subunit ribosomal RNA
Source: RNAcentral
UACGUAGGGGGCAAGCGUUGUCCGGAUUUAUUGGGCGUAAAGAGCGUGUAGGCGGCUUCACAGGUCCGCUGUGAAAACUCGAGGCUCAACCUCGAGAUGUCGGUGGAAACCGUGUGGCUAGAGUCCGGAAGAGGAGAGUGGAAUUCCCGGUGUAGCGGUGAAAUGCGCAGAUAUCGGGAAGAACACCCGUGGCGAAGGCGGCUCUCUGGGACGGUACUGACGCUGAGGCACGAAAGCGUGGGGAGCAAACAGG